AGCGAACGCUGGCGGCGUGCUUAACACAUGCAAGUCGAACGGUGAAGGCGGAGCUUGCUCUGCUGGAUCAGUGGCGAACGGGUGAGUAACACGUGAGCAAUCUGCCCCUGACUCUGGGAUAAGCGCUGGAAACGGCGUCUAAUACUGGAUACGAGCUGCGAAGGCAUCUUCAGCAGCUGGAAAGAACUUCGGUCAGGGAUGAGCUCGCGGCCUAUCAGCUUGUUGGUGAGGUAACGGCUCACCAAGGCGUCGACGGGUAGCCGGCCUGAGAGGGUGACCGGCCACACUGGGACUGAGACACGGCCCAGACUCCUACGGGAGGCAGCAGUGGGGAAUAUUGCACAAUGGGCGAAAGCCUGAUGCAGCAACGCCGCGUGAGGGACGACGGCCUUCGGGUUGUAAACCUCUUUUAGCAGGGAAGAAGCGAAAGUGACGGUACCUGCAGAAAAAGCGCCGGCUAACUACGUG
RNAcentral lists this ribosomal RNA (468 nucleotides) under uncultured bacterium. RNAcentral describes it as "partial 16S ribosomal RNA". It matches the Rfam family "Bacterial small subunit ribosomal RNA", at positions 29 to 507 of the family's 1533-position model. The record is from RNAcentral.